Molecule: ribosomal RNA, 253 nt
Filed under: uncultured bacterium
Lineage: Bacteria
Description: partial 16S ribosomal RNA
Rfam family: Bacterial small subunit ribosomal RNA
Source: RNAcentral
UACGUAGGGCGCAAGCGUUAUCCGGAAUUACUGGGCGUAAAGAGCUCGUAGGCGGUUUGUCGCGUCUGCUGUGAAAGCCCGGGGCUCAACCCCGGGUCUGCAGUGGGUACGGGCAGACUAGAGUGCAGUAGGGGAGACUGGAAUUCCUGGUGUAGCGGUGAAAUGCGCAGAUAUCAGGAGGAACACCGAUGGCGAAGGCAGGUCUCUGGGCUGUUACUGACGCUGAGGAGCGAAAGCAUGGGGAGCGAACAGG